Molecule: small nuclear RNA, 303 nt
Filed under: Neotoma lepida (desert woodrat)
Lineage: Eukaryota; Metazoa; Chordata; Mammalia; Rodentia; Cricetidae
Description: 7SK RNA
Rfam family: 7SK RNA
About the family: 7SK was discovered as an abundant small nuclear RNA in the mid-70s but a possible function has only recently been suggested.
Source: Rfam by way of RNAcentral
GGACUUGAGGGUGAUAUGGCUGCAGGAUCUGUCAUCUCGUUGAUCUCUGGGGUUAAUUCGGCUGCUCUACACAACUGGGUGGGUGUGCCCUUCCUCCAGAACCACUCCANGUCCAUCUUUUCUGAAGCUGAUUACUCAGUUGAAGAAGACAACCUUUCCUGCUGGGGGAGGACCAUUCUGUCAUUAGUAAAGAGAAGAUGUGCACUCCUGCUAGAACCUCCNAAGAGACCCUCAAGAAAUGCACUGAGCCAUGCUAACAUAANNAAUGGGCAGCUGUGUCGUGCUAGUUCCUGUCACUAUGAU